This 27-nucleotide non-coding RNA is filed under the name Homo sapiens (human). The record is from RNAcentral. Lineage: Eukaryota; Metazoa; Chordata; Mammalia; Primates; Hominidae.
UGGCCAACAUGGUGAAACCCCGUUUAA